Molecule: small nucleolar RNA, 136 nt
Organism: Cannabis sativa
Lineage: Eukaryota; Viridiplantae; Streptophyta; Magnoliopsida; Rosales; Cannabaceae
Product: small nucleolar RNA ACA64
Exons: 1
Source: RefSeq, a predicted model, not a curated record
AGACCACGGUUUUAAACUGUGGCCUAUACUAUAGGCCACGGUUAAAAACCGUGGCCUAUAGUAUAGGCCACAGCUUAAAACCGUCGCCUAUAGUGUUUACUAUAGGCGACGGUUUUAAACCGUGGCCCAUACUAUU